RNAcentral lists this ribosomal RNA (1510 nucleotides) under termite gut metagenome. RNAcentral describes it as "bacterial SSU rRNA". It matches the Rfam family "Bacterial small subunit ribosomal RNA". The record is from RNAcentral.
AGAGUUUGAUCCUGGCUCAGGAUGAACGCUAGCUACAGGCUUAACACAUGCAAGUCGAGGGGCAGCAUGAACUAGCAAUAGUUUGAUGGCGACCGGCGCACUGGUGAGUAACACGUAUCCAACCUGCCAUUUACUCGGGUAUAGGCUUUCGAAAGAAAGAUUAAUCCCCGAUAGUAUGUAUAUCCCACAUGGGAUUUCCAUUAAAGAGAGCAAUUUUGGUAGAUGAUGGGGAUGCGUUCCAUUAGAUAGUUGGUAAGGUAACGGCUUACCAAGUCUUCGAUGGAUAGGGGUUCUGAGAGGAUUUCCCCCCACAUCGGUACUGAGACACGGUCCAAACUCCUACGGGAGGCAGCAGUGAGGAAUAUUGGUCAAUGGUCGAGAGACUGAACCAGCCAAAUAGCGUGAAGGAUGACGGUAUUAUGUAUUGUAAACUUCUUUUAUCGGGGAAUAAAGUGAGGGACGUGUCCCUUUUUGUAUGUACCCGAUGAAUAAGCAUCGGCUAACUCCGUGCCAGCAGCCGCGGUAAUACGGAGGAUGCGAGCGUUAUUCGGAUUUAUUGGGUUUAAAGGGUGCGUAGGCGGCUGAUUAAGUCAGCGGUGAAAUCUCGAUGCUUAACAUCGAAACUGCCGUUGAAACUGGUUAGCUUGAGUAUAAACGAGGCAGGCGGAAUUCGUAGUGUAGCGGUGAAAUGCAUAGAUAUUACGAAGAACUCCAAUAGCGUAGGCAGCUUGCCAGAUUAUAACUGACGCUCAGGCACGAAAGUGUGGGUAUCAAACAGGAUUAGAUACCCUGGUAGUCCACACAGUAAACGAUGAUUACUCGCUGUUUGCGAUAUACAGUAAGCGGCUAAGCGAAAGCAUUAAGUAAUCCACCUGGGGAGUACGCCGGCAACGGUGAAACUCAAAGGAAUUGACGGGGGCCCGCACAAGCGGAGGAACAUGUGGUUUAAUUCGAUGAUACGCGAGGAACCUUACCCGGGCUCGAACGGCUUUUGAAUGUCUGUGAAAGCAGGCAGCCAGCAAUGGCAGAAGUCGAGGUGCUGCAUGGUUGUCGUCAGCUCGUGCCGUGAGGUGUCGGCUUAAGUGCCAUAACGAGCGCAACCCUUAUCGUUAGUUACCAUCAGGUUAUGCUGGGGACUCUAGCGAGACUGCCACCGUAAGGUGUGAGGAAGGUGGGGAUGACGUCAAAUCAGCACGGCCCUUACGUCCGGGGCGACACACGUGUUACAAUGGGGGGGACAAAGGGCAGCUACCUGGCGACUGGAUGCUAAUCUCCAAACCCUCUCCCAGUUCGGAUCGAAGUCUGCAACUCGACUUCGUGAAGCUGGAUUCGCUAGUAAUCGCGCAUCAGCCAUGGCGCGGUGAAUACGUUCCCGGGCCUUGUACACACCGCCCGUCAAGCCAUGGAAGCCGGGGGUACCUGAAGUACGUAACCGUAAGGAGCGUCCUAGGGUAAAACUGGUAACUGGGGCUAAGUCGUAACAAGGUAGCCGUACCGGAAGGUGCGGCUG